This 583-nucleotide ribosomal RNA is filed under the name Lodderomyces parapsilosis. RNAcentral describes it as "eukaryotic LSU rRNA". It matches the Rfam family "Eukaryotic large subunit ribosomal RNA", at positions 54 to 653 of the family's 3401-position model. Lineage: Eukaryota; Fungi; Ascomycota; Pichiomycetes; Serinales; Debaryomycetaceae. The record is from RNAcentral.
AGGAAAAGAAACCAACAGGGAUUGCCUUAGUAGCGGCGAGUGAAGCGGCAAAAGCUCAAAUUUGAAAUCUGGCACUUUCAGUGUCCGAGUUGUAAUUUGAAGAAGGUAUCUUUGGGUCUGGCUCUUGUCUAUGUUUCUUGGAACAGAACGUCACAGAGGGUGAGAAUCCCGUGCGAUGAGAUGUCCCAGACCUAUGUAAAGUUCCUUCGAAGAGUCGAGUUGUUUGGGAAUGCAGCUCUAAGUGGGUGGUAAAUUCCAUCUAAAGCUAAAUAUUGGCGAGAGACCGAUAGCGAACAAGUACAGUGAUGGAAAGAUGAAAAGAACUUUGAAAAGAGAGUGAAAAAGUACGUGAAAUUGUUGAAAGGGAAGGGCUUGAGAUCAGACUUGGUAUUUUGUAUGUUACUCUCUCGGGGGUGGCCUCUACAGUUUACCGGGCCAGCAUCAGUUUGAGCGGUAGGAUAAGUGCAAAGAAAUGUGGCACUGCUUCGGUAGUGUGUUAUAGUCUUUGUCGAUACUGCCAGCUUAGACUGAGGACUGCGGCUUCGGCCUAGGAUGUUGGCAUAAUGAUCUUAAGUCGCCCGUC